This 379-nucleotide ribosomal RNA is filed under the name uncultured bacterium. Its description in RNAcentral is "bacterial SSU rRNA". It matches the Rfam family "Bacterial small subunit ribosomal RNA", at positions 521 to 896 of the family's 1533-position model. The record is from RNAcentral.
UAAAACGUAGGAGACAAACGUUAUCCGGAGUUACUGGGCGUAAAGGGCGUGCAGGCGGCUGUUUAAGUUCGGCGUGAAAGGCUUCGGCUCAACCGGGGUAGGUCGUCGGAUACUGGACAGCUAGAGGGUGAUAGAGGCGGGUGGAAUUCCGGGUGUAGUGGUGAAAUGCGUAGAGAUCCGGAGGAACACCAGUGGCGAAGGCGACCCGCUGGAUCACACCUGACGCUGAGACGCGACAGCAUGGGGAGCGAACGGGAUUAGAAACCCCGGUAGUCCAUGCCGUAAACGAUGCCAACUCGAUGUUCGGGAGGGGAAACUCUCCUGGGUAUCUCAGCAAACGCGGUAAGUUGGCCGCCUGGGGAGUACGGUCGCAAGGCUA